UACACACCGCCCGUCACACCAUGAGAGUUGGAGAUACCCGAAGCCUAUGAGCUAACUUUAGAGGCAGUAGUCGAAGGUAGAAUCAAUGAUUGGGGUGAAGUCGUAACAAGGUACC
Molecule: ribosomal RNA, 115 nt
Filed under: uncultured bacterium
Lineage: Bacteria
Description: partial 16S ribosomal RNA
Rfam family: Bacterial small subunit ribosomal RNA
Source: RNAcentral